AACGAACGCUGGCGGCAGGCUUAACACAUGCAAGUCGAACGCAUCCUUCGGGGUGAGUGGCAGACGGGUGAGUAACGCGUGGGAACGUGCCCUUCAGUCCGGAAUAACCCAGGGAAACUUGGGCUAAUACCGGAUACGUGCGAGAGCAGAAAGAUUCAUCGCUGAAGGAUCGGCCCGCGUCUGAUUAGCUAGUUGGUGGGGUAAUGGCCCACCAAGGCGACGAUCAGUAGCUGGUCUGAGAGGAUGAUCAGCCACAUUGGGACUGAGACACGGCCCAAACUCCUACGGGAGGCAGCAGUGGGGAAUAUUGGACAAUGGGCGCAAGCCUGAUCCAGCCAUGCCGCGUGAGUGAUGACGGCCUUAGGGUUGUAAAGCUCUUUCGUCCGGGACGAUAAUGACGGUACCGGAAGAAGAAGCCCCGGCUAACUUCGUGCCAGCCGCCGCAGUAA
RNAcentral lists this ribosomal RNA (449 nucleotides) under uncultured bacterium. RNAcentral describes it as "partial 16S ribosomal RNA". It matches the Rfam family "Bacterial small subunit ribosomal RNA", at positions 29 to 523 of the family's 1533-position model. The record is from RNAcentral.